UUGAGGCUCAGGCAGGUUGUCAACUUGGGGUGCAUUUGCAAAGAUGGAACUCCGGUCAGCCGUUGGUUUGCAAGUGGCGGCUGCUGCAUCCUCGGCGAUUCAUCAGUCCCGCGUCCUGUCGCGCCGGGAUACGUUUUUUCUUAAACAAAGACAAAAAAAAUUGCCUCAUCGAUUAAUUAAAAAGAAAAAAAAUACUCUGUUAAUUUAUGAAGAACCAGAUGAAAAUCGAUACACACACCCUCAAAGUUAUACUCACAAAGCAUAAAACAGUACGAUCACUUAGACAGCCUGUCCAAUGCUUCCAACACCUAACAACCAUUGCUCUCAAUACCUACACAACACAUCCAAACCCACAAC
Molecule: long non-coding RNA, 357 nt
Filed under: Hordeum vulgare
Lineage: Eukaryota; Viridiplantae; Streptophyta; Magnoliopsida; Poales; Poaceae
Description: long non-coding RNA (HVUL_LNC013637)
Source: RNAcentral